Molecule: transfer RNA, 67 nt
Filed under: Carposina sasakii
Lineage: Eukaryota; Metazoa; Arthropoda; Insecta; Lepidoptera; Carposinidae
Description: tRNA-Asn
Source: RNAcentral
UUAAUUGAAACCAAAUAGAGGUAUAUCACUGUUAAUGAUAUUAAUGAAUAUAAAUAUUCCAAUUAAA